Molecule: ribosomal RNA, 37 nt
Filed under: Oxalis sellowiana var. alba
Lineage: Eukaryota; Viridiplantae; Streptophyta; Magnoliopsida; Oxalidales; Oxalidaceae
Description: partial 26S ribosomal RNA
Source: RNAcentral
CGCGACCCCAGGUCAGGCGGGACUACCCGCUGAGUUA